AACGAACGCUAGCGGGAUGCCUCAAACAUGCAAGUCGAACGAGAAAGUACCUUCGGGUGCGAGUACAGUGGCGCACGGGUGCGUAACACGUAGCUAACGUCCCCCCUCGCUGGGGAUAACUCCGGGAAACCGGAGCUAAUACCGAAUGAUCUGAUACGGUCUGCGGACUGUAUCGGUAAAGCUUUCGGGCGCGAGGGGAUCGGGCUGCGUCCCAUUAGUUUGAUGGUGGGGUAACGGCCUACCAUGACUACGAUGGGUAGCUGGUCUGAGAGGAUGAUCAGCCACACUGGAACUGAAACACGGUCCAGACUCCCACGGGAGGCAGCAGUUGGGAAUAUUGGACAAUGGGAGAAAUCCUGAUCCAGCAAUCCCGCGUGAGUGAUGAAGGCCCUCGGGUCGUAAAGCUCUUUCAGCAGGGACGAAGAUCUGACGGUACCUGCAGAAGAAGCACCGGCUAACUCCG
RNAcentral lists this ribosomal RNA (463 nucleotides) under uncultured Pseudomonadota bacterium. RNAcentral's name for it is "bacterial SSU rRNA". It matches the Rfam family "Bacterial small subunit ribosomal RNA", at positions 29 to 505 of the family's 1533-position model. The record is from RNAcentral. Lineage: Bacteria; Pseudomonadati; Pseudomonadota.